CGCUCGGUGAGCUCCGUGUUGACGGCGGCCUCGGCCUGCCAGGUCGAGCUGACGAGGCUGCAUGUCGAGUCGCUCGGCGCGACGCCAGGCCGCGCGGC
This 98-nucleotide transfer RNA is filed under the name Salinispora arenicola. RNAcentral's name for it is "tRNA-Gly". The record is from RNAcentral. Lineage: Bacteria; Bacillati; Actinomycetota; Actinomycetes; Micromonosporales; Micromonosporaceae.